Molecule: ribosomal RNA, 468 nt
Filed under: uncultured bacterium
Lineage: Bacteria
Description: partial 16S ribosomal RNA
Rfam family: Bacterial small subunit ribosomal RNA
Source: RNAcentral
GACGAACGCUGGCGGCGUGCUUAACACAUGCAAGUCGAACGGAAAGGCCCUGCUUUUGUGGGGUGCUCGAUUGGCGAACGGGUGAGUAACACGUGAGUAACCUGCCCUUGACUUUGGGAUAACUUCAGGAAACUGGGGCUAAUACCGGAUAGGAGCUCCUGCUGCAUGGUGGGGGUUGGAACGUUUCGGCGGUUGGGGAUGGACUCGCGGCUUAUCAGCUUGUUGGUUGGGUAGUGGCUUACCAAGGCUUUGACGGGUAGCCGGCCUGAGAGGGUGACCGGCCACAUUGGGACUGAGAUACGGACCAGACGCCUACGGGAGGCAGCAGUGGGGAAUAUUGCACAAUGGGCGGAAGCCUGAUGCAGAAACGCCGCGUGCGGGAUGACGGCCUUCGGGUUGUAAACCGCUUUCGCCUGUGACGAAGCGUGAGUGACGGUAAUGGGUAAAGAAGCACCGGCUAACUACGUG